AUGAACGCUGGCGGCGUGCCUAAUACAUGCAAGUCGAGCGAACGGACGAGAAGCUUGCUUCUCUGAUGUUAGCGGCGGACGGGUGAGUAACACGUGGAUAACCUACCUAUAAGACUGGGAUAACUUCGGGAAACCGUAGCUAAUACCGGAUAAUAUUUUGAACCGCAUGGUUCAAAAGUGAAAGACGGUCUUGCUGUCACUUAUAGAUGGAUCCGCGCUGCAUUAGCUAGUUGGUAAGGUAACGGCUUACCAAGGCAACGAUGCAUAGCCGACCUGAGAGGGUGAUCGGCCACACUGGAACUGAGACACGGUCCAGACUCCUACGGGAGGCAGCAGUAGGGAAUCUUCCGCAAUGGGCGAAAGCCUGACGGAGCAACGCCGCGUGAGUGAUGAAGGUCUUCGGAUCGUAAAACUCUGUUAUUAGGGAAGAACAUAUGUGUAAGUAACUGUGUACAUCUUGACGGUACCUAAUCAGAAAGCCACGGCUAACUACGUG
RNAcentral lists this ribosomal RNA (496 nucleotides) under uncultured bacterium. RNAcentral's name for it is "partial 16S ribosomal RNA". It matches the Rfam family "Bacterial small subunit ribosomal RNA", at positions 29 to 507 of the family's 1533-position model. The record is from RNAcentral.